This 419-nucleotide ribosomal RNA is filed under the name uncultured bacterium. RNAcentral describes it as "bacterial SSU rRNA". It matches the Rfam family "Bacterial small subunit ribosomal RNA", at positions 358 to 769 of the family's 1533-position model. The record is from RNAcentral.
GGAAUAUUGCACAAUGGGCGCAAGCCUGCUGCAGCCAUGCCGCGUGUAUGAAGAAGGCCUUCGGGUUGUAAAGUACUUUCAGCGGGGAGGAAGGGAGUGAGGUUAAUAACCUUAUUCAUUUACGUUACCCGCAGAAGAAGCACCGGCUAACUCCGUGCCAGCAGCCGCGGUAAUACGGAGGGUGCAAGCGUUAACCGGAAUUACUGGGCCUAAAGCGCACGCAGGCGGUCUGUCAAGUCGGAUGUGAAAUCCCCGGGCUCAACCUGGGAACUGCAUUCGAAACUGGCAGGCUGGAGUCUUGUAGAGGGGGGUAGAAUUCCAGGUGUAGCGGUGAAGUGCGUAGAGAUCUGGAGGAAUACCGGUGGCGAAGGCGGCCCCCUGGACAAAGACUGACGCUCAGGUGCGAAAGCGUGGGGAGC